RNAcentral lists this long non-coding RNA (270 nucleotides) under Nicotiana benthamiana. Its description in RNAcentral is "long non-coding RNA (NBEN_LNC032299)". The record is from RNAcentral. Lineage: Eukaryota; Viridiplantae; Streptophyta; Magnoliopsida; Solanales; Solanaceae.
AAAAAGUACACACGACUGAAUUUUUAUUGUGUUUAUUGAACUUCUUCGGUGAUUUCUAAUUCUUUUCAAUUGCUGAAAACAAUAGCUUCUCAUUCCAAGAUUUGAAAUGGAUUGAUAUUAUGUUUUGAAAAGUUUGGGUUCAAGCUUUGUUAAGGGUUACUGUUCCAUCAGAUUUUUGGUUGAUUUUAUCGUUCUAAUUGCUGAAUCUGGAUCGAUUUCUGCUGCUACUCUGCAGACCCAUCACUUUUCCUUUUCCUAUUUUAAUUCCAG